RNAcentral lists this ribosomal RNA (315 nucleotides) under Polybia sericea. RNAcentral's name for it is "eukaryotic LSU rRNA". It matches the Rfam family "Eukaryotic large subunit ribosomal RNA", at positions 664 to 944 of the family's 3401-position model. Lineage: Eukaryota; Metazoa; Arthropoda; Insecta; Hymenoptera; Vespidae. The record is from RNAcentral.
GACCAAGGAGUCUAACAUGUGCGCGAGUCAUUGGGACUGCGAAGCCUAAAGGCGCAAUGAAAGUGAAGGUCGCGCCAACCAAGGUCGACCGAGGGAGGAUGGGCCGCGUUUGCGCGCGGCUCCGCACUCCCGGGGCGUCUCGUUCUCAUUGCGAGAAGAGGCGCACCCAGAGCGUACACGUUGGGACCCGAAAGAUGGUGAACUAUGCCUGGUCAGGACGAAGUCAGGGGAAACCCUGAUGGAGGUCCGUAGCGAUUCUGACGUGCAAAUCGAUCGUCGGAACUGGGUAUAGGGGCGAAAGACUAAUCGACCAUC